CCGUGAGGGAAAGAUGAAAAGCACUUUGAAAAGAGAGUUAAAAAGUACGUGAAACCGUUAAAAGGGAAACGGAUGGGGUUAGCAAUGCGCUUCGCGAGAUUCAGCCGGGUGUCGCUUCGGGUGAGCGGUUUGCGGAUCUGAAUGGACUGCGGCCGUUCGGUUCGGAGCUUCGACCGUCGCACUUCUCGCGGGCGCGCGCCAACGUCGGUUGGCACUGGGUUUCAAAGGCGCGAGCAAGGUAGGUUCCUUCYUUCGGGAGGGAGCUGUUAUAGGCUCGUGUCGCAUGGCCCGGAGCCGACCGAGGUGCCGCGGUGUAUGCCUCCUUCGGGUUGGCUAGAGUUUCGUCUUGCCGGUUGGUAGUCAACUGUGGUGGACUGCGUGCAGUGCGCCGCGACCGCUGCCGGUCGAUAAGGCGGUGACUUCGUAUCAUACGCCCAGGACGUUGGCGGUCAAAUGGCCUCAUUCGACCCGUCUUGAAACACGGACCAAGGAGUCUAACAUGUGCGCGAGUCUUUGAGUGAAGGAAACUCGCAGGCGAAAUGAAAGUGAAGGCGGCCUAGCCGUCGAGGUGAGAGCCUGUCCUCCGGGGCGGGUGCAUCAUCGACCGACCUAUUCUGCUCUCAGGAAGGUUUGAGUAAGAGCGCAUCUGUUGGGACCCGAAAGAUGGUGAACUAUGCCUGAACAGGGUGAAGCCAGAGG
This 699-nucleotide ribosomal RNA is filed under the name Metridioidea sp. AT41-18-003. Its description in RNAcentral is "partial 28S ribosomal RNA". The record is from RNAcentral. Lineage: Eukaryota; Metazoa; Cnidaria; Anthozoa; Actiniaria.